Molecule: ribosomal RNA, 253 nt
Filed under: uncultured bacterium
Lineage: Bacteria
Description: partial 16S ribosomal RNA
Rfam family: Bacterial small subunit ribosomal RNA
Source: RNAcentral
UACGUAGGGUGCAAGCGUUGUCCGGAAUCAUUGGGCGUAAAGCGCGCGUAGGUGGCCUCGUAAGUCCGCUGUGAAAGUCAAAGGCUCAACCUUUGAAAGCCGGUGGAUACUGUGGGGCUAGAGUACGGAAGAGGCGAGUGGAAUUCCUGGUGUAGCGGUGGAAUGCGCAGAUAUCAGGAGGAACACCGGUGGCGAAGGCGGGUCUCUGGGCCGAUACUGACGCUGAGGAGCGAAAGCGUGGGGAGCGAACAGG